GCCGCGUGAGUGAUGACGGUCUUCGGAUUGUAAAGCUCUGUCUUUAGGGACGAUAAUGACGGUACCUAAGGAGGAAGCCACGGCCCACUACGUGACACCCGCCGCGGUAAUAAGCCAGCCGCCGCGGUAAU
Molecule: ribosomal RNA, 131 nt
Filed under: uncultured bacterium
Lineage: Bacteria
Description: partial 16S ribosomal RNA
Rfam family: Bacterial small subunit ribosomal RNA
Source: RNAcentral